UACCGCUAUUGGAGUUCGAUUAAGCCAUGCGAGUCGCGAGAAAUUAGAUUCUCGGCGUACCGCUCAGUAACACGUGGGUAACCUGCCCUAUGCUGGAUAAUAACCUCGGGAAACUGAGUAUAAUGAUCCAUAGUUCACUACGCCUGGAACGGUGAGUGGACGAAAGCUCCGGCGGCAUAGGAUGGGCCUGCGGCGUAUCAGGUUGUAGGGGGUGUAACGUACCCUCUAGCCCUCUACGCGUACGGGUGUUGGGAGACAUAGCCCGGAGAUGGAUUCUGAGACACGAAUCCAGACCCUACGGGGUGCAGCAGGCGCGAAAACUUGGCAAUGCGAGAAAUCGUGACCAGGGAACUCCAAGUGCAUCGGGUAAGACCGGUGCUUUUCUUGACUCUAAAUAGGUCUUGGAAUAAGGGGUGGGUAAGGACGGUGCCAGCCGCCGCGGUAAUACCGGCGCCUCAAGUGGUAGUCGCUUUUAUUGGGCCUAAAACGUCCGUAGCCGGUCUGAUACAUUCGUGGGUAAAUCAACCAGCUCAACUGGUUGAAUUCUGCGAGGACGGUCAGACUUGGGACCGGGAGAGGUGUGGGGUACGCUCAGGGUAGGGGUAAAAUCCUGUCAUCCUGAGCGGACCACCUGUUGCGAAGGCGCCACACUAGAACGGAUCCGACGGUCAGGGACGAAGCCUAGGGGCACGAACCGGAUUAGAUACCCGGGUAGUCCUAGGUGUAAACGCUGUGGACUUGAUGUUGGGGGUGCUCCGAGCACUCUCAGUGUCGAAGCGAAGGUGAUAAGUCCACUGGCCUGGGAAGUACGGUCGCAAGGCUGAAACUUAAA
RNAcentral lists this ribosomal RNA (832 nucleotides) under uncultured marine archaeon. Its description in RNAcentral is "bacterial SSU rRNA". It matches the Rfam family "Archaeal small subunit ribosomal RNA", at positions 25 to 860 of the family's 1478-position model. The record is from RNAcentral.